CAUGUGUUAUCUAGCCCAAUGGCAAAGGUAUGAAAGGACCGUGGAGGGGAUUGCAGGUAUUCAUUUGGGAUUUGGGAGAAGGUGAAAGGGCAAGCGGAGAGGUCAUUUAAGUCCUUGACUCAGAGAUGCUGCUUUUGCCAUUGGAAGGAAAAGGCACUUAACCGCUCCAGCAUAAUUACAAACCCAGGGAAGCACAAGGGAAAUCCAUCUUCUUUAAUAGCACUUGCUCGUCACCGACCAGCCGGCCCUGCCAUUAGGUGACGUUUGCUCAGACACCUUUAGCCUCAGGUUUUUAAUUUUGUGUGAUGCAACCCCCCCCAAAAAAAAAACCCAGAAAGGAAGGUUUGGGGUUUACACAAAGCCAGAGAAUGACAUGAAAAGUUUUAACUUAAGCAGCAAAAUAGAAAGGCUAAUCUUAUUUAAAAGUAAUAUGUGUUUCUUGAUUGAGUGCCCAGAUACACUCAACUGGGACAUUUUAGUGGAAUCGGUUCUAAGCUGUUACACUGAGUUAUACAGAGUAAGGUUUCCUGAGCUCACGUUGCCAGACCUGAAAUACUCUUGUGGCUGCAUUUAAUAAAGAAACGAAAGUCUCGGGGCACAUAACAACUUCUGUGUCAGCAGAUCAGAACAGAACUGCUUCAGAGCCUUCUGGAUCAGCAUGGAUGCAUGCAGAAGCACUCAUCCACCUGCUUCUUCAGGCAGGAGAGGAAAAGAACUUCACGAAGGAGAUUAAAUUAUCUCACUAAACUGUCCCACUUUUGGCCCAAAGCACAACCUUUAGACAAGGGAGAGAUUUGCCAUUACAAAAUGCAGAAAACAUGCUGAGCUGGAGGACUGCAUUUUUGGGAGGGGAGUUCUCUGAACUGAUGUACUUUGGACGCCGUCAUGAGUUAAAGUGUUUAAUUUCUUCCAAAGACUAUAGAGCCUCAGCGCAGAAGUGACAUCAGAAUUGUGGCCUUUGCAGCCAGGACUGAACUGAAGAAACAGACUCUCUUUUGCCCACCUUUGAUCCAUCCUUAUCUUUUCAGCUGCACACUGCAAUAUUGUAUAUAGAUUUAUGGGAAUUCUUUCCAUGUUCACAACUUAUAAAGAAUUAAUAGUCGGUCCAAGUUGGAAAAUAAUACACCAUUCCUAACUCUAUUAAGGACAUAAAAAUCUGGCUUUGGUUAAAAUGAGAUUCCCUUUAGCAAUGGCCAAUAUACAGUAUGUAUUAUGAGUAUAUAAAAAACCAGACCUCUCCUUAUCUGACGUACAGCAACAUUAAGAUUACUGCCUGAGGCUCAGCAAACUUCAAACUUAGAAAGUAAGAUUGAGAGAGAGUGAAGGGGUGCAGGCAAUCAUUGGAAAGUAAUUACUGGUAACCCGAGCAGUCACUUUCAAGUAGAUUUCAUCUAAUAAGACCUAUACACAAAUGUAGUUUUAUGUUGAUAGACUGACGUAUGACAGGAACGCCAUCGGUACAGAUGCACAGCACAAAGCUUUACUGCCCUGUUAUUCUGCAAGCUGCCUAGAACGCCUUCCUCUUCUAAGCCUUCGCAUCAUUGGCAAUGGCAUUUUCAGUAAACAAGCACGGAAGAUUCUAACCAGGGCUGAAAUCCUGCACCCAAUUGGGCUGUUGAAAUCCUACUGAAGUUCUUGGGACUUAAGCAAUCUAAGGCUGCCAUGGAG
Long non-coding RNA from Lacerta agilis (Sand lizard), 1668 nucleotides. RefSeq lists it as uncharacterized. The transcript is spliced from 3 exons. NCBI's taxonomy places the organism in Eukaryota, Metazoa, Chordata, Lepidosauria, Squamata, Lacertidae. The record is from RefSeq and is a predicted model, not a curated record.